GACGAACCGUGCGACCGUUAUUCGGAAUCACUGGGCUUAAAGCGCGUGUAGGCGGGAGGGCACGUCCGUUGCUGAAAUCCCCCGGCUCAACCGGGGAACGGGCGCGGAUACGACUCUCCUCGAGGGGCGUAGGGGGACCUGGAACUUCCGGUGGAGCGGUGAAAUGCGUUGAGAUCGGAAGGAACGCCCGUGGCGAAAGCGAGGUCCUGGACGCCUACUGACGCUGAGACGCGAAAGCCAGGGGAGCGAACGGG
This 254-nucleotide ribosomal RNA is filed under the name uncultured bacterium. Its description in RNAcentral is "partial 16S ribosomal RNA". It matches the Rfam family "Bacterial small subunit ribosomal RNA", at positions 524 to 776 of the family's 1533-position model. The record is from RNAcentral.